This 102-nucleotide small nucleolar RNA is filed under the name Mesocricetus auratus (golden hamster). RNAcentral's name for it is "Small nucleolar RNA U3". It matches the Rfam family "Small nucleolar RNA U3", at positions 117 to 219 of the family's 219-position model. From Rfam's summary of the family: Small nucleolar RNAs (snoRNAs) are involved in the processing and modification of rRNA in the nucleolus. There are two main classes of snoRNAs: the box C/D class, and the box H/ACA class. Lineage: Eukaryota; Metazoa; Chordata; Mammalia; Rodentia; Cricetidae. The record is from Rfam by way of RNAcentral.
CCGGCUCCAGGUGCUGCUUUUCUGCAGCUGCCUCUUGCCAUUGAUGAUCGUUCUUCUCUCCCUUAUGGGAGGGUGAGAGGGAGGGAACGCAGUCUGAGUGGA